GACGAACGCUGGCGGCGUGCCUAAUACAUGCAAGUCGAGCGAAGUUUUUCUGGUGCUUGCACUAGAAAAACUUAGCGGCGAACGGGUGAGUAACGCGUAAAGAACCUGCCUCAUAGACUGGGACAACUAUUGGAAACGAUAGCUAAUACCGGAUAACAGUAUUUCUCGCAUGAGAGAUAUUUAAAAGUUGGUUAUGCUAACACUAUGAGAUGGCUUUGCGGUGCAUUAGCUAGUUGGUGGGGUAAAGGCCCACCAAGGCGACGAUGCAUAGCCGACCUGAGAGGGUGAUCGGCCACACUGGGACUGAGACACGGCCCAGACUCCUACGGGAGGCAGCAGUAGGGAAUCUUCCGCAAUGGGCGAAAGCCUGACGGAGCAACGCCGCGUGAGUGAAGAAGGAGUUCGGUUCGUAAAGCUCUGUUGUUAGGGAAGAAUGGAUAUGUAGUAACUAUACAUGUAAGAGACGGUACCUAACCAGAAAGCCACGGCUAACUACGUG
This 499-nucleotide ribosomal RNA is filed under the name uncultured bacterium. RNAcentral describes it as "partial 16S ribosomal RNA". It matches the Rfam family "Bacterial small subunit ribosomal RNA", at positions 28 to 507 of the family's 1533-position model. The record is from RNAcentral.